GUAGCAAAGCAGCAAUGCAGCAAAGUAGCAAUGUAGCAAAUGUAUCAAAUGUAUCUAAAAAUGUCCUUAUACCCUUUUUUCUUUUUGAUCAACUGUCGAUGGUAAGGUAUUGGCUUACCAUGGUUACAACGGGUGACGGAGAAUUAGGGUUCGAUUCCGGAGAGGGGGCCUGAGAAACGGCUACCACAUCCAAGGAAGGCAGCAGGCGCGCAAAUUACCCAACCCUGACGAAGCUUCUCGUCCGUUGGAUCCUGGUAACGAACACAAGAAGUGUCCGCUUGAGGUUCCUUUAACUAGGAUCCAUUGGAAGGCAAGACUGGUGCAAGAAGCCGUGGUAAUUCCAGCCCCAA
This 350-nucleotide non-coding RNA is filed under the name Nematostella vectensis (starlet sea anemone). Its description in RNAcentral is "Eukaryotic small subunit ribosomal RNA". It matches the Rfam family "Eukaryotic small subunit ribosomal RNA", at positions 220 to 594 of the family's 1831-position model. The record is from Rfam by way of RNAcentral. Lineage: Eukaryota; Metazoa; Cnidaria; Anthozoa; Actiniaria; Edwardsiidae.